This 375-nucleotide ribosomal RNA is filed under the name uncultured soil bacterium. RNAcentral's name for it is "bacterial SSU rRNA". It matches the Rfam family "Bacterial small subunit ribosomal RNA", at positions 26 to 397 of the family's 1533-position model. The record is from RNAcentral.
AGGAUGAACGCUAGCGGCAGGCUUAACACAUGCAAGUCGAGGGGUAGUAUAGCAAUAUAUGAGACCGGCGCACGGGUGCGUAACGCGUAUGCAAUCUGCCUUCCACAAAGGGAUAGCCCAGAGAAAUUUGGAUUAAUACCUUAUAGUAUUACGGGAUGGCAUCUAUUUCGUAAUUAAAGAUUUAGUCGGUGGAAGAUGAGCAUGCCGUCCCAUUAGCUUGUUGGUAGGGUACGGCCUACCAGGCUAUGAUGGGUAGGGUCCUGAGAGGGAGACUCCCCCACACGUGGUACUGACGACACGGACCAGACUACCGUACGGGAGGCAGCAGUGAGGAAUACGUGGUACAAGUGGGCGACGAACGCCUACGAACCACGG